GACGAACGCUGGCGGCGUGCUUAACACAUGCAAGUCGAACGGAAAGGCCCUGCUUUUGUGGGGUGCUCGAGUGGCGAACGGGUGAGUAACACGUGAGUAACCUGCCCUUGACUUUGGGAUAACUUCAGGAAACUGGGGCUAAUACCGGAUAGGAGCUCCUGCUGCAUGGUGGGGGUUGGAAAGUUUCGGCGGUUGGGGAUGGACUCGCGGCUUAUCAGCUUGUUGGUGGGGUAGUGGCUUACCAAGGCUUUGACGGGUAGCCGGCCUGAGAGGGUGACCGGCACCAUUGGGACUGAGAUACGGCCCAGACUCCUACGGGAGGCAGCAGGGGGGAAUAUUGCACAAUGGGCGGAAGCCGGAUGCAGGAACGCCGCGUGCGGGAUGACGGCCUUGGGGUUGUAAACCGCUUUCGCCUGUGACGAAGCGUGAGUGACGGUAAUGGGGAAAGAAGCACCGGCUAACUACGU
Molecule: ribosomal RNA, 467 nt
Filed under: uncultured bacterium
Lineage: Bacteria
Description: partial 16S ribosomal RNA
Rfam family: Bacterial small subunit ribosomal RNA
Source: RNAcentral